Molecule: long non-coding RNA, 1414 nt
Filed under: Canis lupus dingo (dingo)
Lineage: Eukaryota; Metazoa; Chordata; Mammalia; Carnivora; Canidae
Description: lncRNA (ENSCAFG00020002724.1)
Source: RNAcentral
CCUUUGCCCGAGCUGAGUCACAUGAGAGAGGCCAUCUAAGAUGUAUUCCCAAACCCCUAAAAGUGUACAGGUAGGAAAGAGAAAGACCCACAUCAAAGCAACCAAGGGAGGAGUUUGUGCAGAGCAGAAGGAUGGGGAGAGGGGAAGGGUGAAGAGCCCAGGCUGAGGAGAUGUCACAGUUGGUCAGGACAGCGUGCUUCAUCCCCAAGCAUUCUUCUGCCCAUCCUCCAGAAACUCAGAGAAGCCAAAGGGUGUGCAGGAGCCAUGGCCCCAGAACAAGCCCACCAGGAACCUCCCUCACUGUGGCGUUGGGCACAGGUCCCCAUAGCAUACAAGUCUAACAAUUCUGUCAGAUUGAAAGACAAUUCUCUCUCCCCAUCAUUCUGUUCCCCUCCUCAGCUCUGGCCUCACCCAAACUGUCCUAAACAAGGCUCUCGGCCCUCUGAGAGCUUUCCAAAGGUUAGGUAGUUGCUGUCAUUGAGAAUAAAUGCACUUGCAGCUGAUUUCCUGGGGUGGCAGGUAGGAAGAGCCAGGCAGUACUCAAGUCCAAAAAAGGGGAGAGAACUCUGAAGAAUGAGUUCAGCUAGCCCCAGAGCCAAGAAAGUCAAACUUCCAAACCUCUGUCUGGUUAGGAAUGACACCUAAACCAGCUGGCCACACCCUGCCUGCCUUCCCUCUUGCCUCCUCUGGUGGAGGUCCCCUUCAGGUCUCUAAGGUGAAGGGAAGUCCUGGAUGGAGGCCCAGCUUUGCAAAACACAAGGAACCAGAAGUAAUGUCCUCAGACUCACACGAGCCUCUCCUUUGUGCUUAGAAGGACGUAUAUGAUAAAUGUGUGAGCCCAGGCUCUCUGUCUCCAAAACCUCUCCCCUUAUCUGCCACACAUCAUAUUUCUCCUGGUUUAGGCAUAACUGACCCUGGAAUGAAAGAUCUGUAGGCUGCUCGAAACAAAUGCCAUGACCCCUCUUGUUCUUUAGAGAAGAGACGUUCGUGGUGGGCAAUGGGCUGCAGAGGGGAAGGAGCGACAGACACAGGUUGCAUGAUCUGCGAUGUGGAUGUGGCAGAAGCAGGAGCUCCUCGCCUGCUCCUCUCAGCAGCCAGGACUGCCUUUCCAAGCCCAUUCCUGGAUCAACACCCCUUCCUCCCACUGCAGGGGUACCAGAUGGAGUGCCUUCCCCACAGCUGGUUACCAAGGGCCCUGCCUGGGAGUCUUAAACAGGUUUGUCCAAGUGAAGAGAUGAAAAAGCCACCCUGUUGGCAUAGCUGUGACAAGCAGGUGCCAGCGAUGUACCCCGCCCCCACAACCAAUGCUGCCUUCCCUCAUGGCAUGCUCUUUCCUGCUGUGGAUCACCUGAGGGGGAAGACCCAGGACUUGAUCAUAGGCUUCCAGCACUCUUCUUUGCAUUUUGCUUCUUAG